RNAcentral lists this transfer RNA (81 nucleotides) under Rubrobacter sp. RNAcentral describes it as "tRNA-Leu". It matches the Rfam family "tRNA". Rfam says of the family: Transfer RNA (tRNA) molecules are approximately 80 nucleotides in length. Their secondary structure includes four short double-helical elements and three loops (D, anti-codon, and T loops). Further hydrogen bonds mediate the characteristic L-shaped molecular structure. tRNAs have two regions of fundamental functional importance: the anti-codon, which is responsible for specific mRNA codon recognition, and the 3' end, to which the tRNAs corresponding amino acid is attached (by aminoacyl-tRNA synthetases). tRNAs cope with the degeneracy of the genetic code in two manners: having more than one tRNA (with a specific anti-codon) for a particular amino acid; and 'wobble' base-pairing, i.e. permitting non-standard base-pairing at the 3rd anti-codon position. RNAcentral also lists the same sequence under 5 other names. The record is from RNAcentral. Lineage: Bacteria; Bacillati; Actinomycetota; Rubrobacteria; Rubrobacterales; Rubrobacteraceae.
GCGAGAGUGGUGGAAUGGUAGACACGCUAGAUUUAGGAUCUAGUGCCUCACGGCGUGCGGGUUCAAAUCCCGCCUCUCGCA